GACGAACGCUGGCGGCGUGCUUAACACAUGCAAGUCGAACGGAAAGGCCCUUCGGGGUCCUCGAGUGGCGAACGGGUGAGUAACACGUGGGUGAUCUGCCCUGCACUUUGGGAUAAGCCUGGGAAACUGGGUCUAAUACCGAAUAUGAUCAUCGGCUUCAUGGUCGGUGGUGGAAAGCUUUUGCGGUGUGGGAUGGGCCCGCGGCCUAUCAGCUUGUUGGUGGGGUAAUGGCCUACCAAGGCGACGACGGGUAGCCGGCCUGAGAGGGUGACCGGCCACACUGGGACUGAGAUACGGCCCAGACUCCUACGGGAGGCAGCAGUGGGGAAUAUUGCACAAUGGGCGCAAGCCUGAUGCAGCGACGCCGCGUGAGGGAUGACGGCCUUCGGGUUGUAAACCUCUUUCAGCACAGACGAAGCCCAAGUGACGGUAUGUGCAGAAGAAGGACCGGCCAACUACGUG
RNAcentral lists this ribosomal RNA (462 nucleotides) under uncultured bacterium. Its description in RNAcentral is "partial 16S ribosomal RNA". It matches the Rfam family "Bacterial small subunit ribosomal RNA", at positions 28 to 507 of the family's 1533-position model. The record is from RNAcentral.